This 466-nucleotide long non-coding RNA is filed under the name Dromaius novaehollandiae (emu). RNAcentral's name for it is "lncRNA (ENSDNVG00000003520.1)". Lineage: Eukaryota; Metazoa; Chordata; Aves; Casuariiformes; Dromaiidae. The record is from RNAcentral.
GUGCUGGGGGCAGCGGGAGGCUCUGCUGCCUGGCGGGGUCGCCUUGCGCUCUCGCGGCCCCGCCGCUUCGCUCGUGCGUGAUAAAACUUAUUAAAACGCUUCGCGCUGUGGUCGGUGGCUUCCCUCCGGGAACGCUGSCCUCUCGGCCCGUUUCGCGCUAGAUGAGUUCCCAGAUGUUGUUCCCGUUGCUGUUUUCCACAGUGAAUCAGCUGCUGGAAGAACCAUUGCAGUCCUUAACCUUAAUUUAGGCCGUUUCGAUGUUCCACCUGACCCGUUUGAGCUGUGGGGGAGAUUCCUCUGCUCCCCACCCAAAACUAACGAGAACAGGUGUCGGUCUGGGCCUCUGCUAUGGCUAGAUCCUGCUGGAGACAGACGAACGAAGAGGAGGGCCACACACCUCAGCAGCAGCCACAGUUACGCUGGAGUCGCUGAACUAUCACGCUGCAUGCAGAGGAUGAAUUACUAG